This 532-nucleotide long non-coding RNA is filed under the name Struthio camelus australis. Its description in RNAcentral is "lncRNA (ENSSCUG00000008704.1)". The record is from RNAcentral. Lineage: Eukaryota; Metazoa; Chordata; Aves; Struthioniformes; Struthionidae.
GAAAGUUGCUUAAUUUGCUCGGUAGUUGCCUGGCAAACCUGUUCAACGGGCCAGAAGGCAUGAAACUGUAAAAAAAUGAUCGUUGGGACUAAGCAUGGAUGAAAAGUCUUGAAUGUGCUGCUUGCAAGGACAGAGGGCAGCCAUUUUUUUGUUCAGAGAUAGCUUCUUCUGUCCCUACAAGAUGUAGAAAUAUCUUUACCAUUGAAGACAGUACAAUUUGGGAUAAGGACCCGGCACAUGCAAGAACUGGCACAUGGAGUAUAAUCGCCAGAGGAACACUGAUAUCAGUGGGACAUCUGACCCCAACUGCUGCACGGAAGAGAGGAAAUCAGGUGCUAUUUUCUGUCUCACUCUGUGUUUUGAAUUGAUUAAAAUUGGAUCUGCGAUUUCUAGAAUGGAAAUCCUGCUACUCUUGGACUGCACUGGACACUUGGCAGAAGCCUAUUUUGCUGCGAGCAAAGGGCAGCGGCAGAACCUUUGUGGACUGCUCGGAGGGAUCCUCAUUUGCCUGCUUUUAACAAAGCUUUUGUGA